UACGAAGGGGGCUAGCGUUGCUCGGAAUGACUGGGCGUAAAGGGCGCGUAGGCGGCGAUCAAGGUCAGAUGUGAAAUUCCUGGGCUUAACCUGGGGGCUGCAUUUGAUACGUGGUGGCUUGAGUGCGGAAGAGGGUCGUGGAAUUCCCAGUGUAGCGGUGAAAUGCGUAGAGAUCGGGAGGAACACCAGUGGCGAAGGCGGCUACCUGGACCAGCACUGACACUGAGGCACGAAAGCGUGGGGAGCAAACAGG
RNAcentral lists this ribosomal RNA (253 nucleotides) under uncultured bacterium. RNAcentral describes it as "partial 16S ribosomal RNA". It matches the Rfam family "Bacterial small subunit ribosomal RNA", at positions 524 to 776 of the family's 1533-position model. The record is from RNAcentral.